UUAAUUUCAUCGAAACAAACAAAAAAAUGGAAAUUACCUGCAUAUUACACUUGACGAGAUCCAUCGGCGUGACGGCGGUGUGAGUGAGGCCGCAGCACAGCAGCCCGCCGACGGUACACGCGGCGUAAAAUGCCGGAGAGAACAUUUCGAUC
Molecule: long non-coding RNA, 152 nt
Organism: Hibiscus syriacus
Lineage: Eukaryota; Viridiplantae; Streptophyta; Magnoliopsida; Malvales; Malvaceae
Exons: 3
Source: RefSeq, a predicted model, not a curated record